Molecule: ribosomal RNA, 933 nt
Filed under: uncultured archaeon
Lineage: Archaea
Description: bacterial SSU rRNA
Rfam family: Archaeal small subunit ribosomal RNA
Source: RNAcentral
CCGGUUGAUCCUGCCGGACCCGGCUGCUAUUUGGGUGGGGAUAAGCCAUGCGAGUUGAAUGGGAAACCUAAAGUUCCCAUGGCAAACUGCUCAGUAACACAUGAUCAACUUACCCUAUAGAGAAAAAUAACCUCGGGAAACUGAGGAUAAUGUUUCAUAGUUGAAUUGGCUUGGAAAAGUUUUUCGACGAAAGGGGUAAAAAAAAUGGUUUUUAUCUGCUAUAGGAUAGGAUCGUGUUCGAUUAUGGUUGUUGGUGAGGUAAUGGCUCACCAAGCCGAUAAUCGAUAGGGGCCGUGAGAGCGGGAGCCCCGAGAUGGGUACUGAGACAACGACCCAGGCCUUACGAGGCGCAGCAGGCGCGAAACCUCCGCAAUACACGAAAGUGUGACGGGGUUACCCAAAGUGUUCAAUAGAACUGUGGUAGGUGAGUAAUGUUCCCUACUAGAAAGGAGAGGGCAAGGCUGGUGCCAGCCGCCGCGGUAAAACCAGCUCUUCAAGUGGUCGGGAUAAUUAUUGGGCUUAAAGUGUCCGUAGCCGGUUUAGUAAGUUCCUGGUAAAAUCGGGUAGCUUAACUAUCUAUAUGCUAGGAAUACUACUAUACUAGAGGGCGGGAGAGGUCUGAGGUACUGCAGGGGUAGGGGUGAAAUCUUAUAAUCCUUGUUGGACCACCAGUGGCGAAGGCGUCAGACUGGAACGCGCCUGACGGUGAGGGACGAAAGCCAGGGGAGCGAACCGGAUUAGAUACCCGGGUAGUCCUGGCCGUAAACGAUGCAUACUAGGUGAUGGCACGGCCAUGAGCCGUGUCAGUGCCGUAGGGAAACCGUUAAGUGUGCCGCCUGGGAAGUACGGUCGCAAGGCUAAAACUUAAAGGAAUUGGCGGGGGAGCACCACAAGGGGUGAAGCCUGCGGUUCAAUUGGAUUCAACGCCGGGAA